AACGAACGCUGGCGGCAGGCUUAACACAUGCAAGUCGAACGCAUCCUUCGGGGUGAGUGGCAGACGGGUGAGUAACGCGUGGGAACGUGCCCUUCAGUUCGGGAUACCCCAGGGAAACUUGGGCUAAUACCGGAUACGUCCGAGAGCAGAAAGAUUUGUCGCUGAAGGAACGGCCGGCGUCUGAUUGGCUAGUUGGUGGGGUAAUGGCCCGCCAAGGCGACGAUCAGUAGCUGGUCUGAGAGGAUGAUCAGCCACAUUGGGACUGAGACACGGCCCAAACUCCUACGGGAGGCAGCAGUGGGGAAUAUUGGACAAUGGGCGCAAGCCUGAUCCAGCCAUGCCGCGUGAGUGAUGAAGGCCUUAGGGUUGUAAAGCUCUUUCGUCCGGGACGAUAAUGACGGUACCGGAAGAAGAAGCCCCGGCUAACUUCGUGCCAGCCGCCGCUGUAA
RNAcentral lists this ribosomal RNA (449 nucleotides) under uncultured bacterium. RNAcentral describes it as "partial 16S ribosomal RNA". It matches the Rfam family "Bacterial small subunit ribosomal RNA", at positions 29 to 523 of the family's 1533-position model. The record is from RNAcentral.